CCAGAUGUCAUGUGUAUGAUUGAGUAUAAGAACUUAAACCGCAACCGGAUCUUAAAAGCCUAAAUUGUGUUUCCUUGUUAGAAGAUACAAAGCCAAAGCGUCAUACGGCCUUUUGCUACACCAUCAAAGCUUUGAGAAGCAAGAAGAAGCUUGGUUAGUGUUUUGAAGUCAAAUAUUACUAGAUGUCAUCUGUAUGAGUGAGUAUAACAACUAGAAUCGCAACCGGAUCUUAAAAGCCUAAGUAUUGUAUCCUUGUUAGAAGAUAUAAAGACAAAUACUCAUACAGAUCUUACAAGCCUAAGUAGUGUUUCCUUGUUAGAAGACACAAAGCCAAAGACUCAUACGGAUUUUAGCUACACCAUUAAAACUUUGAGAAGCAAGAAGAAGCUUGGUUAGUGUUUUGGAGUCAAAUAUGACUAGAUGUCAUAUGUAUGAGUGAGUAUAACAACUAGAAUCGCAACCGGAUCUUAAAAGCCUAAGUAUUGUAUCCUUGUUAGAAGAUAUAAAGACAAAUACUCAU
This 520-nucleotide small RNA is filed under the name Arabidopsis thaliana (thale cress). Its description in RNAcentral is "ATSL270410". Lineage: Eukaryota; Viridiplantae; Streptophyta; Magnoliopsida; Brassicales; Brassicaceae. The record is from RNAcentral.